This 4931-nucleotide unclassified non-coding RNA is filed under the name Octopus sinensis (East Asian common octopus). RNAcentral describes it as "zinc finger protein 239-like, transcript variant X1". The record is from RNAcentral. Lineage: Eukaryota; Metazoa; Mollusca; Cephalopoda; Octopoda; Octopodidae.
UGUUUUUAUGAUAUACACAAAAGGUUAUUUCUAUACGAGAGGCUCUUUAUUAUCUUUAUAAACUAUCUUUCGAAUUUAUUUCGAAGUAGAUAAUUUUCUUAAAGCUUCACUUAUUCGUUUCGGUAAUUCAGAGAAGCCUUGUAUUUUUUGCAAACCCCAUUGUCGUUGGUCCCAAUUUUAAUAACACCGUUUUCUUCCUCUUAUCCCACGUUUCCUUAUGUUAUCUGAUGGUAUUAAGGUAAAAUGUUUUCACUAAAGAUGAUCAACAUAUAAAGUUCUGAAGAUUAAAAUUAACUUCAUUAAGCUAUGUCAGCCUGUUAAUACAUUUUCCUUGGAAUUGAGAUUAUUUACUGUAAUACCAAAACCAACAACAGAUGGAAGGCUGUAGUAACAGUAUCAACAGCAUAUGCAUGACUGCAGCUCUUUUGUUACAACUACUGCUACAGUAAAAGAUUAAUUAGACUGAAGAUAUAAGGACUAAAAACUUCAUCAAGCUGCUGUCAGCCUGUUUCUGAAACUCUUAGUUGAAUGGAUGUGAACUAUUUCCUUGGAAUUGAGAUUGUUUGCAAAAAUUCCUACAUAAAUGUUUACAGGGAAAUUUUCUUUAUAAAUUAAUUUAGAAAGCUAUACUGUGAACUUUUAAUAAUUUUAUACUUUAAGAAUUUCAUAUCUGGAUAUACCUUGUUAAUUGGAAUGACUUUGAUAUUUUAGUUGUUGGCUGUCACAUGAUAAACUAAUAAAUCCCUUUGAAGUAUUUUUUUUAACAGUUAAGUCAUCAGACUUUACAAAGAAUAUCACACAGAAAAUUAGAUAAAAAGUAAAAGUUAUGGAUGAAAAAGCAGAACCCAAAAAUAUUGAUUCAUCAGAAGAGAAAUUACAUUCUUGUGAUAUAUGCAAGAAGUUAUUCACAACAAAAAAGAAUUUAAUUCAGCAUAAAUUAAUUCAUUCAUUCUCUAAUUUUUAUCAGUGUGAAGUUUGUGGCAAAAGGUUCACUGCAAACAAUUUAUUUUCUCUCCAUAAAUGUAGUCAUUCAGGAAAAAAACUGCACCACUGUGAUAUCUGUGACAAAAAUUUUUCUUCAAGUGGCAGUUUAUCUACCCACAAGCGUAUCCACACAGGGGAGAAACCAUACCACUGUGAUAUCUGUGGUAAAAGAUUCUCUCAGAAAGGUAGUUUAUUUACCCACAAGCGUAUCCACACAGGGGAGAAACCAUAUCUUUGUGUAGUUUGUAACAAAGCCUUCUCUGAUAGUCGUAGUUUAUUUAUACACAAACGUAUUCACACUGGAGAAAAACCAUAUCACUGUGAUAUCUGUGAUAAAUCAUUUUCUACAAAGGGUCAUUUAACUUGUCACAUACGUAUUCACUCGGGAGAGAAACCAUACCACUGUGAUAUCUGUGGUAAAAUGUUUUCUGGAAGUGGUGACUUGUCUUCCCACAAACGUAUUCACACAGGGGAAAGACCCUAUCACUGUGACCUGUGUGGUGAAACAUUUUCUAGAAAUCAUAAUUUAACUUAUCACAAACGUAUCCACACUGGGGAGAAACCAUACCAAUGUGAUAUAUGUAAUGAAGCAUUUUCUACAAGGAGUCAUUUGUCUUGCCACAUACGUAUUCAUACAGGAGAAAGACCUUAUCACUGUGAAAUCUGUGGCAAGACUUUCUCUCAAAGUGCUCAUUUGUAUCGACACAAACGUAUUCACACUGGUGAAAGACCAUACCAGUGUGAUAUCUGUAAUGAAAAAUUUUCCAGAAGUGAUCAUUUAACUCAGCAUAAACGUAUCCACACAGGAGAGAAAUCAUAGUUGUAUAUUUGUAGUGCAAUAUUCCUUUCAAGUAACAAUAUAUAUAUAUAUAAUAAAUGAAUUUUUUAAUGAAUAAUCAGGUGGUGCUCCAGCAUGGCCACAGUCAAAUGACUGAAACAAGUAAAAGAAAAGAAAGAAUAUCAGUGUUAUGAAUUGUAGCAUGCAAGUAUCAUCAUCAUUAUUUUAAUGUCCAUUAUUCAAUGGUAUGCAUCUAGAGCAAUUGAUGUUUCGAUCCUAUUAACCCACCAGAAUGCCCCUACAUCCUUUUCAUUCCAUUUUAAUUUUACCUACUUCCAAGGUGGCUAUGAGAUAUUGUGGCAUUUUAAUUAGCACUCUGGUUAUUGCUUUGUCUUUAGACUAAAUCAUUCCAGGUUUUGAAUUUUUUUUUAGCAUUCUUGACACAUUUUGUUAUUGCUGCUUCCAAAAGCAACUGUUUGGAAUUCUUGUAUUAUAGAAUCAAGAACUAUGAUGAGCAGAAGGGAAAUAAGGAAAGAAAUGCUGUGGGCAUCUAACUACAUGAAUAAUUUACUGCUAAUCCUAACUUUGCCUUAAAGCAUCUUCAUACUUGGGUUGAAUGGCUUUUGAAGGUCACUCAUCUACAUCUUAUUUUUGCAGUACACACCAAACUAUAUUGUGUGUGAUUCUAUCAAAAAGUAUUCUGAUUGAUAAAUGCUUGAUGGUUUAUGCUUAACUAAUACCUCUUGUCAUUGUCUUGCAGUAGUAUAGUAUUUAUGGUUCUACAUCUAGACACAAAUACAAACUAAAUCCAAACUUUCUCCUGUACUGACUUACUAAAAAAUUUUGUCAGCUGUUUUCUAGACUUUGUCGUCAUACAGAGAUAUCUACCAUUGUUCAAUCCCAGCACAUCUUACUUCAUCUUUGUUGCCAUUAAUGAUAAUACAGCUACACCAGUCUUCCUUCAUCAUUUAAUUAAUUAAUUGUCUAGUGUAGUAGGUACAUUUCUUAGUUAUUAUCUAUGAUGGGCCUGUCCACAAUGUAAAAGGUAUUAUGCAUUCAACACUAAUUAAUCUGAUUUUGUCAUUGGAUUGUGUCAGUGUCAACAGUUUUGUUAGCUCCCGUAUUUCAGCUGGCUAGAGCAAUCAUAUAUUUGUGAAAUGUGUGUUUAGUUAUCUGAAAGUAUGUCCAAUGAAAAUUAAAAUUUUUGAACAUAAAAUACUGUAUUUAAUCUUUAUGGAGAAUGGGGUCAGGUGCAAAUCAUAAAAGUAUGUGAUGUUCAACACUUAUUUUUUCUAUUAACCUUUCUGUUGUAGCCUUAGCCUCUCUUCUACACUGAUGAACUUUUAAUGCAAGCUUUUAAAAGUAACAUUUUAACUCUGACUGUACAAUUCCAUUCACCCAUGCUAAUUUGUGUCUUUGUCCAAAAGUAUUUCUAUUGUCUGCCAUGUUACUGGCAAUGGAUAGAAAAUGAAAUCUGACAAUAAAAAGUUGAGCUCCUGACAUGAUAUAUAUUGAGUGGACCAAGAGUCACAAAUUCUGACUACAUAUUGCAAUCUGUGGACAUAUUUUUAUAUUUUGUGACUCUUGGCUCAUUCUACAUAUGAUUAUGGAGUUCAGGUUAUAACCAUUAUUUUCAUUUUUAAUCUUGAUUUUUUUUCAGCCCUUCUUUACAAUGUAGUUUCAAAAUUUAUCAGUUGUUUUUGUGCUGCUAAGGGCUUAUCACUUAAAAUUGCAGCAUUAUCACUGGAGGCUAAUUCAAGUAGUUUUUCAACAGUAAAUCUGGGUAGUCUUCUCUUGAUUGUAUCUAUAUUCUUGCAGAAAUAUACAGAUUACAUAAUCCAUAAUAAUUAUGAAGAUGUAUAACGCAAGCUUGUCUUCCCCAAAGUUGUCUCAUUACAGUUACCAGGAGGAUUAUGAACAAAAGCAUAAAUAUCUGUGUACAAGAACAUAAUUGCAUUAAUAAAUAAAUUUGGCAUUUUAUUGAAACUUGGUAUAUCUUCAACUUUUCCUCUGUUUAUACAGUUCAACAAUGUUAGAAGAGUCCUCAGAAGUUUUCACAAAACUGUUUUCUUAACUGCUUGGCUGUCGUGCAUAUUCUUGAUGGUAGUAUUUGUUUAGUAGCAUUUCUCUUCAGACUUAUCAUCAUUGUCGUUAUUUUAAUAUCUACUUUACUGCACUUGCAUGGCUUGGAAGGCAGUAAUUGAAGCAGAUUUUCUACAGCCAGAUGCCUUUCCUAUCACCAACUCUCAUCUGUUUCUAAGCAAGGUAUAGAAAUGGCAUUCACUGGAAGAGAAAAGCGUUUUGUGUGUUAGAGUAUGCUCAAACACAGUCGAAGGAGAUUGUGCUGUGUGCAUUUGUGAGAGAGUUCUCUAAAAAGUCACCAACAGCAAUGCAGAUUUGGACAUGGCACAAAAAAUUCAAAGAGGCCAACAGGAUCUAGCUGACCACUAACAUCAGAAGAGAUGGUCGAACAGGUUCGCCAUAAACUCUUGUGUAGCCCCCAAGAAGUCCAAAAGAAGAACAAGUCCGGAAACCCAGAUUCCUCCAAUGACAGUUUGGCACAUCUUGAAGAAAUGCUUGCUAAUGAAACCCUACAAGCUGCAGCUCAUUCAGGCCAUAAUGGCAGAUGGCAAGUGAAAGUGCAAACAAUCCUGUUUUGAUAUGCAAGAAACACUUGAAGCCAAGUUCAAGGAACAUUUUGUUUUCAGUGAUGUGUCACAUUUCAUAUGAAUGGCAAAGUCAAUAAGCAUAAUGUUCGCAUUUGGGGUGAAGAAAAUUCCCAUGACAGUUGAGCACGAGAGGGACUAGUAGCACCCUCUCAGUUAAUUAAAUAAUAAAAUUUAAAAAAGGGAUGUAGCUUGAGUGACCUUCCAUUGAAUGUUCUGGAACAUUCCAUGACUUUCCAGAUGACAUGGAAGUGAAGGACUUCUGCUCCACAUAUAAAACGAAAAAACGAAAGUUAAUCUUGCCUUUUUGCAUUUGAGCUUUGGAUGAGAACCAUUGAGCGUAUGUAGGUUGUUCUUACAACUGUCUUGCGGUUAUAAGAUAUAUUGUUUUUAUUCCAAGUUAUUCUUAUAUACUAUGUUGCAUACACAACAUUGAGAAACUGUUAUUUGUAAAGUUGCAAGCACACACCACAAUGAAUAAAACCAUUAUUGUUCCUGUUUAA